RNAcentral lists this ribosomal RNA (496 nucleotides) under uncultured bacterium. Its description in RNAcentral is "partial 16S ribosomal RNA". It matches the Rfam family "Bacterial small subunit ribosomal RNA", at positions 29 to 507 of the family's 1533-position model. The record is from RNAcentral.
AUGAACGCUGGCGGCGUGCCUAAUACCUGCAAGUCGAGCGAACAGACGAGGAGCUUGCUCCUCUGACGUUAGCGGCGGACGGGUGAGUAACACGUGGAUAACCUACCUAUAAGACUGGGAUAACUUCGGGAAACCGGAGCUAAUACCGGAUAAUAUAUUGAACCGCAUGGUUCAAUAGUGAAAGACGGUUUUGCUGUCACUUAUAGAUGGAUCCGCGCCGCAUUAGCUAGUUGGUAAGGUAACGGCUUACCAAGGCGACGAUGCGUAGCCGACCUGAGAGGGUGAUCGGCCACACUGGAACUGAGACACGGUCCAGACUCCUACGGGAGGCAGCAGUAGGGAAUCUUCCGCAAUGGGCGAAAGCCUGACGGAGCAACGCCGCGUGAGUGAUGAAGGUCUUCGGAUCGUAAAACUCUGUUAUUAGGGAAGAACAAAUGUGUAAGUAACUAUGCACGUCUUGACGGUACCUAAUCAGAAAGCCACGGCUAACUACGUG